GAUAACUUUCCAGAGAUGGAUAUGUCGCCUUCCGGAACUCUGACACAGGUGCUGCAUGGCUGUCGUCAGCUCGUGUCGUGAGAUGUUGGGUUAAGUCCCGCAACGAGCGCAACCCUUGUCCUUAGUUGCCAGCACGUAAUGGGGGGAACUCUAAGGAGACCCCCGGUGAUAAUGGGAGGAAGGUGGGGAUGACUCCAAGUCAUCAUGGCCCUUACCGUUAGGGCUACCCACGUUCUACAAUGGUAAGAACAGAGGGGUGCAAGCCGGCUACGGUAAGGAACCCCAACAAACCCUAUCUCAACCCGAAUUGAAGUCUGCAGCUCGACUCCUUGAAGUCGGAAUCGCUAGAAAUCCCAUAUCA
This 361-nucleotide ribosomal RNA is filed under the name Stenotrophomonas sp. 172(2012). Its description in RNAcentral is "bacterial SSU rRNA". It matches the Rfam family "Bacterial small subunit ribosomal RNA", at positions 991 to 1351 of the family's 1533-position model. The record is from RNAcentral. Lineage: Bacteria; Pseudomonadati; Pseudomonadota; Gammaproteobacteria; Lysobacterales; Lysobacteraceae.